AACGAACGCUGGCGGCAGGCCUAACACAUGCAAGUCGAGCGCACCCUUCGGGGUGAGCGGCGGACGGGUGAGUAACGCGUGGGAACGUGCCCUUCUCUGCGGAAUAGCCUCGGGAAACUGAGAGUAAUACCGCAUACGCCCUUUGGGGGAAAGAUUUAUCGGAGAAGGAUCGGCCCGCGUUGGAUUAGGUAGUUGGUGGGGUAAUGGCCCACCAAGCCGACGAUCCAUAGCUGGUUUGAGAGGAUGAUCAGCCACACUGGGACUGAGACACGGCCCAGACUCCUACGGGAGGCAGCAGUGGGGAAUCUUAGACAAUGGGGGCAACCCUGAUCUAGCCAUGCCGCGUGAGUGAUGAAGGCCUUAGGGUUAUAAAGCUCUUUCAGCUGGGAAGAUAAUGACGGUACCAGCAGAAGAAGCCCCGGCUAACUCCGUG
RNAcentral lists this ribosomal RNA (433 nucleotides) under uncultured bacterium. Its description in RNAcentral is "partial 16S ribosomal RNA". It matches the Rfam family "Bacterial small subunit ribosomal RNA", at positions 29 to 507 of the family's 1533-position model. The record is from RNAcentral.